GGAAUUGACUUGCUUAUAUAAAAUCCGCAACACCGUGAAUGAUGAGGCUUCACAAUAACUGAAACAAAGUGGUAUAUCCGAACUAUUGAUUUUCCAUAAUUAAACAAUCGGAUUCAAACCAUUAUAUGGUUAGAAAACCAGGAUAUUGCCAUAAAAAUAUAAAAAAGAAAUGAAAAAGACUGAAGCUUGAACCAUUUGAAAAUAAAAACUCAAGGAUAUGCAAUCACUGGUUGCGAUUCACGUUUAAAUCAAUAAGAAAUAAAAGCACACACUAACAGCUUGUUUGGGAGGAAGUUUUUUGAGGUAAAGUGUCAUGCUUGUUUGGGAGGGAGGUUUUGUAAAAGAAGUAAUGUUACUUUCUUUCUUUCGGUUA
This 373-nucleotide unclassified non-coding RNA is filed under the name Hevea brasiliensis (rubber tree). Lineage: Eukaryota; Viridiplantae; Streptophyta; Magnoliopsida; Malpighiales; Euphorbiaceae. The record is from RNAcentral.